AUAGUUGCUCCAUAGAAAAUCCUCCACAGUACUGAAAUGAGGCUGCCUCACCAUUGGGGAUAGUGAAAAGGACAAUUUCCUUUGAACACACUCAUUUUCUGAUUGAAGAGAAUACAGAGAAUGUGGAUUUUCCUGGUGCCAAGUUGUUCUUCCAUUCCUCGGCCAAGUUUCCAUUCUGAUUAACUCAAGUCUCACCUCAUAGCCUAUUCAUUACCGCUGAAAGUGAUUCAGAUUGUCAAGGCCCAUCUUCUAUACAGCGCUUCCCAAAGUGACGUCGGUAGACCAGUACCAGUAAGAAAACUGUUUCUAGUCUGAUAAGUUUACUGAUUAUCAAAGAAGGACUGUGACUAAACUAGAAGGAGAAUUAACACUAUCCAGAGAUGGCUACAGUUCUGAAGGGAAACUUUGAGUCUCCACCUUUCCAAGAGUGGGGCACAGAUGUCGGAGCCAGACUGCCUGGACUCAAAUCUCAGAACCUGCAUUUAUUAGCUGUGUGACUUUGGAUAAUCCUCUCUCCACAACUUGAUAAUGCACAAACUGCAAAUCUUCUGGUACUCACUGCUGCAAGCAAACUUGAAGUCUUUCUGAGAUGAUGAAACCAAUGUCCUGAAGUCUGAAGUUCCCUGGCUACAGCCUACUGGCUAGUAAUCAGCAGAGUGGGGAUUUAUGUUCUAGGUCGCUCUUGGUUCCAAGGCCACUGCACUAUGUUGCUUUCCAGCUCCCUGCAGAACAGCAAGUACACUUUCAUAUACACCAUAGAGAAUUUUUGAA
RNAcentral lists this long non-coding RNA (771 nucleotides) under Homo sapiens (human). Its description in RNAcentral is "HSALNT0059311". Lineage: Eukaryota; Metazoa; Chordata; Mammalia; Primates; Hominidae. The record is from RNAcentral.